RNAcentral lists this non-coding RNA (45 nucleotides) under Schistosoma mattheei. The record is from RNAcentral. Lineage: Eukaryota; Metazoa; Platyhelminthes; Trematoda; Strigeidida; Schistosomatidae.
ACCCAUCUGAUGAGUUCUAAAUAGGAUGAAACGUGCGUCCUGCAU